RNAcentral lists this ribosomal RNA (253 nucleotides) under uncultured bacterium. RNAcentral's name for it is "partial 16S ribosomal RNA". It matches the Rfam family "Bacterial small subunit ribosomal RNA", at positions 524 to 776 of the family's 1533-position model. The record is from RNAcentral.
UACGAGGGGGGCAAGCGUUGUUCGGAAUUAUUGGGCGUAAAGAGCUCGUAGGCGGUUUGUCGCGUCUGCUGUGAAAACUGGGGGCUCAACCCCCAGCCUGCAGUGGGUACGGGCAGACUAGAGUGCGGUAGGGGAGAUUGGAAUUCCUGGUGUAGCGGUGGAAUGCGCAGAUAUCAGGAGGAACACCGAUGGCGAAGGCAGAUCUCUGGGCCGUAACUGACGCUGAGGAGCGAAAGCAUGGGGAGCGAACAGG